AUUGAACGCUGGCGGCAUGCCUUACACAUGCAAGUCGAACGGUAACAGGUUAAGCUGACGAGUGGCGAACGGGUGAGUAAUGUAUCGGAACGUGCCCAGUCGUGGGGGAUAACUGCUCGAAAGAGCAGCUAAUACCGCAUACGACCUGAGGGUGAAAGCGGGGGAUCGCAAGACCUCGCGCGAUUGGAGCGGCCGAUAUCAGAUUAGGUAGUUGGUGAGGUAAAGGCUCACCAAGCCGACGAUCUGUAGCUGGUCUGAGAGGACGACCAGCCACACUGGGACUGGGACACGGCCCAGACUCCUACGGGAGGCAGCAGUGGGGAAUUUUGGCAAAUGGGCGCAAGCCUGAUCCAGCCAUGCCGCGUGCGGGAGGAAGGCCUUCGGGUUGUAAACCGCUUUUGUCAGGGAAGAAAAGGUUCUGGCUAAUACCUGGGACUCAUGACGGUACCUGAAGAAUAAGCACCGGCUAACCACGUGCCAGCAGCCGCCGUAA
RNAcentral lists this ribosomal RNA (493 nucleotides) under uncultured bacterium. RNAcentral's name for it is "partial 16S ribosomal RNA". It matches the Rfam family "Bacterial small subunit ribosomal RNA", at positions 30 to 523 of the family's 1533-position model. The record is from RNAcentral.